This 460-nucleotide long non-coding RNA is filed under the name Olea europaea subsp. europaea. The record is from RNAcentral. Lineage: Eukaryota; Viridiplantae; Streptophyta; Magnoliopsida; Lamiales; Oleaceae.
GAAACCCCUCUCAGCACGCGCCACAUACAUACACAGUAAAACACUAUCUUUGUACAGCAACGGUUAGGGUUUUGUUUUCUGAUUUUCACACAGAAAAAACAAAGACAAAGCCUUGAAGCUGUAACCGCCGAUUGAUUCGACCGACGAGAAAUUGGCUCUUAUCUUCUCUUGAUUCUUGAAAAAAUGGCGAAGGAAAUUAAGGAAUUUCAGUUGUAUAACAGUAUGACGAAACAAAAGGAGUUGUUCAGGCCUAGAGUUGAGGGCAAGGUCGGAAUGUACGUCUGCGGGGUCACGUCCUACGACCUCAGCCACAUCGGUCACGCCCGCGCCUAUGUGGCUUUUGACGUACUUUACAGGUAUACGCGCGUCUGUCUGCACUUAAGUUUAUUGUGAAUCAAAAUAUGUGGGUCUGUUUAUUUAGAAUCAAUAUUUUAAAAUUCCUGUUUUUGUUAAGUUGCAA